Triticum aestivum (bread wheat) is the source of this 1394-nucleotide long non-coding RNA. RefSeq lists it as uncharacterized. Lineage: Eukaryota; Viridiplantae; Streptophyta; Magnoliopsida; Poales; Poaceae. The record is from RefSeq and is a predicted model, not a curated record. The transcript is spliced from 2 exons.
UUGUGAGCCGUAACCUUACGGCUGACCGCCAGGCUCCAUCGCUUACGCGAUGUAACUUUUUAUCUACACAAACGUAAACUUUCACCCCUUCUUCACAUCGGCUACAAACCGUUUCCUGGGAUAGCUAGCCCACGCCACGACCCGUCUCCCACGUUCCUAUUCCAAUCGAGAUGAGCGGUAGUUUUGAUGGCGAGUGGCGGCGGCGGCUGGUUUGCUGGUCGACGGCAUGGUGCUCAGCGGGUUAGUUCUGCGGGAAAGUCAAUGACCUCAGCGACGUCAUGAUCAGGCAUGUGGCCACGGAGUCCGGCAGCGCGGCGUCCGGCGGGUGGUUGUCGCGGCAGCUCUGGCUCGAGGCUCGAGCACGGUUGCCAGGACUGUACAAGGACGAGCAUCCAUCACGGCCUCCGGGUGUAAGGCUUGUGUGAACCUCGGUAAUUCAUCUUUGGAUCUCAUUCUGAGUGCCCACGGGGUGUUUAUGUUAAUGCCCAAUUGGGAAUUGAAGCUGUAACAGUUGUAUACUUUUGUGAGGAAUCUUGGAUAAAUGAAGGCGCAGGUUCUAAAUUUCAUUUACUAUUGAUUCUGAAAAGAUUUAUUACAUGAGCCUGAUGGGUAGAAUCCUUAUUUGUGCCUGGCUACUUGGUAUAGUAUAGCAAAUAAAAUCUGCCAAGGGUCAGGGGUAAAUUCAAGUGUCCUGACUCUAUGAAUUCAUUAUGAACAAGUGUGCAGUGGAUGGCCUGGUGUGCUUUGCUUGGACGUCCGGACGCGACCGCGACGGUGCCGACAGCCUGGGCCUCCCGCACCUCGGCGGGGGAGGUGGUUCCCUCCUGCUCGGUAACGGUGCUGCUGCUUCUGUCGUUUGGCAUUUCUCUUCGGAUCUCUUGGCCUCGCGGUGGUGUUCGUAGUGAGACGGCGUGGGUCGUGGCACAACCGAGAUGGCGCAAGGUGGUGGGCGGAGGUUUGGCUGGUCGGCUUUGGUUCGGUCGGGUGGCGGGUUUGGAGUGUGGAAGAAAUCCUUGCCGGUCUUCGGCUCAAAUGCGGUGACACCUGCGAGUGCCACCAUUCCUUCCUGGAGAGUGUCGUUGUUCUCCAUCCCCCAACUCCCUCCGCGUGUCAGGGAAAACCCUAGGACCCGUCCGGGCAGCAGCGUCGUCGGCGUCGCAUUCCUUCUUGGGGGUUCUGCUUGGUACGCGGCGGAUCGGAGCCUCGGGCUAUGGUCGUUUGUUUCGAGUGGGCGCAGCGAUGGCGGGUCAUCCGUGCUUUGUCGAGCUGCCGCUGUAGGUAUUUGUUUCUUCUUCUUUUUCUUUUGGGCUUGUUGUGCUACUCGCCCCAGCGAUUUGUACUUUCGGUGUUGAUUGCUUUGAAAUACAAAGCAGGGAAAACCCUUUUUGGUAAUC